UAUCAGGAACAUGGCAGCGUCCUGAGUCCUGUUGGGGGGAAUACGGCACAACUGAGCACCUUCAGCAUCAGAGCAGGAAAACUGAGAGCCACCGGCCGCACUCGGAGGAGGGUGGGGGGCUCAGGGACGGCUACGAAUAACGCCCGCUAGCGAUUUUACAGGUCCUGUGAAAAGAUGAAUGUUGUCAAAGAGAACAAAGACUUGGCCUGUUUCUACACCACCAAACACUCCUGGAGGGGAAAGUACAAGCGGGUCUUCUCAGUGGGGACACAUGGCAUUACCACUUACAACCCAACCACGCUAGAAGUAACAAAUCAGUGGCCUUAUGGAGACAUCUGCAGUAUCGGUCCAGUAGGAAAAGGUCAGGGGACCGAGUUCAACCUCACAUUCCGCAAAGGCAGCGGCAAGAAGUCGGAAACGCUCAAGUUUUCGACCGAGCAUCGGACAGAGCUGCUCACAGAAGCACUGAGAUUCAGAACAGAUUUUUCAGAAGGAAAGAUUACAGGCAGGCGAUACAACUGCUACAAGCAUCACUGGAGCGACACGCGGAAGUCGGUGUGUUUAGAGGUUCGGCCCGGCGGCAUCGACCAGAUCGACCCCCACACUAACCGAGUGGUUUGCUCCUACGACUACCGGAACGUGGAAGGCUUUGUGGAAGUCUCUGACUACCAAGGGGGGUUCUGCAUCCUUUACGGUGGUUUCAGCAGGCUGCAUCUGUUUGCCUCGGAGCACCGGGACGAAAUCAUCAGCAGCGCCAUCGAACAUGCCGGGAACUUCAUCGGCAUCACGCUACGGCUGAGGAAGGAGGCCCUGACCUUCGAGGCUUUCGUGACCGACAGGUUGGGGAAGUACAGCUCGGACGAGAGCAUCACUUCUCUGGCAGAGUUCGUGGUGCAGAAGAUCACCCCUCGACACCCGGAGCCUGUAAAGCGCAUCCUGGCCCUGACAGAGACGUGUCUAGUGGAGAGAGAUCCAGCUUCAUACAACAUAGUGACCAUUAAACCCUUUGGAGAGGUGUUUGCUCUCAUCUGUGACGCCGACAACCCUCAGGUGUUCACAGUUGAAUUCAUUAGAGGUCAGAUCAGGAAGUUCUCCUCCACUGAAAGGGACUCGCUCUUGGCCAGCCUGCUCGAUGGAGUCCGUGCAUCAGGCAACAGGGACGUCUGCGUCAAGAUGGCGCCCACGCAGCGGGGGCAGAGGUGGGGCUUGCUGAGCAUGCCCGUGGACGAGGAGGUGGAGAGUUUACAUCUCAAAUUCCUGGCAGCACCUCCGAAUGGAAACUUCGCAGACGCAGUGUUCAGAUUUAACGCCAACAUAUCCUAUAGCGGAGUGCUGCAUGCAGUAACCCAAGAUGGGCUUUUCUCCGAGAACAAAGAGAAGCUCAUCAACAACGCCAUCCUGGCUCUUUUAACUCAGGAGGCCGAGCUGCCUGCUCUGAACGCCGAGCUGGAAAGCCAUUUUCAGGCCAUCCGGCGCUUGGUGGCCUCGAAGGCCGGCUUCCAGGCUUUCACCCAGCUGCCGAAGUCUGGUCAAGGGUCUGGACUCACAGAUGCAACGUUCAGGGAAAAGCUGGGAGUGAAGACGGUCAAAGCUUUAAAACGGAACAACAACGGUGUUACACAUGCUGCUAUAGACAUGCUCUGUGCCCUCAUGUGUCCGAUGCACGAUGAUUAUGACCUGAGGCAGGAGCAGCUGAACAAGGCGUCUCUGCUGUCCUCCAAGAAGUUCCUGGAAAACCUUCUUGAAAAAUUCAUCACCAACGUGGACCAUGGAACGGGAGCUCUGGUCAUCAGCUCCCUGCUGGACUUCCUGACCUUCGCCCUUUGCGCCCCCUACAGUGAAACCACGGAGGGGCAGCAGUUCGACAUGCUGCUGGAGAUGGUCGCCUCGAACGGACGAACCCUCUUCAAACUCUUCCAGCAUCCCUCGAUGGCGAUAGUGAAGGGAGCCGGCUUGGUGAUGAAAGCCAUCAUUGAGGAGGGCGAUAAGGACAUCGCCACUAAAAUGCAGGAGCUGGCCUUGAGUGAGGGCGCCCUGCCGAGGCACCUGCACACGUCGCUGUUCACCAUCAGCUCAGACCAGCGGAUGCUCACCAACAGGCAGCUGAGUCGUCACCUGGUGGGACUGUGGACGGCAGAGAACCCCGUGGCCAUGAACCUCCUGAAGAGGAUACUGCCGACGGGGUUGUUGGCUUACCUCGACAGUCCGGACGCCGUCCCGGAGAAAGACGUGGACAGAAUGCACAUCCGGGACAACUUGAAAAUUGCAACGGACCAACUAAAUCGGAACAAAGUGCCCGAGUGGCAGCGAAUAGCAGGCAAAGCAGCCAAAGAGGUGGAGAAGUUUGCCAAGGAGAAAGCCGACCUGGUGCUGAUGCACUGGAGGGAUAAGAUGGGCAUCGCCCAGAAGGAGCAGGACAGAAAUAACCUGAAUCCCAACCAAAAGCCUGUCAUCCUGAGAAAGAGACGGCAGAGGAUAAAGAUUGAGUCAAACUGGGAGCUUUUCUACUACAGAUUCCAGCUCGACCACGCUCGCUCCAACCUCAUCUGGAACUUGAAAACGAGGGAGGAGCUGCGGGACGCUCUGGAGGGGGAGAUGCGAGCUUUCAGCGUGGACCGCGAGCUGGGCAGCGCCACCGUCAUCUCCUGGAACCACCAGGAGUUCGAGGUGAGAUACGAGUGCCUUUCAGAUGAGAUAAAGAUCGGGGAUUAUUACCUGCGUCUGCUGCUGGAGGAGGAUGAAAAUGAAGACUCGAGCGCCAUCAAGAGAUCGUAUGAGUUUUUCAACGAGCUCUACCACCGCUUUUUGCUGACACCCAAAGUUACGAUGAAGUGCCUGUGCCUGCAGGCGCUCGCUAUAGUUUACGGGAAGUGUUACGAGGAGAUCGGCCCCUUCACCGACACUAAAUACAUUGUGGGCAUGCUGGACAGGUGCACAGACAAACUGGAAAGAGACAGACUCAUUCUCUUCCUCAACAAACUCAUCCUCAACCGGAAAAAUGUGAAGGAGGUGAUGGACUCAAACGGAGUUCGUAUCUUAGUGGACCUGCUCACCUUGGCCCAUCUCCACACCAGCAGAGCCACAGUGCCGCUGCAGACCAACGUGUUGGAGGCUGCACCAGACAUGAAGAGGGAGAGCGAGAAGGAGUGGUACUUCGGAAACGCAGACAAAGAAAGAAGAGGACCUUUCAGUUUCGAGGAGAUGCAGGAGUUCUGGACCACUGGUGUCCUGACAGCAAAGACCCGCUGCUGGGCUCAGGGGAUGGACGGGUGGCGCCCCCUGCAGGCCAUUCCUCAGCUGAAGUGGUGCCUCCUGGCCUCAGGACAGGCCGUGAUGAACGAGUCGGACCUGGCGACGCUCAUCCUCAACAUGCUCAUCACCAUGUGCUCCUACUACCCCAGCAGGGACCAAGACAACGCGAUCAUCCGUCCUUUACCUAAAAUCAAGAGGAUGAUCACCGACAACGCCUGCCUCCCACACAUCGUCCAGUUGCUGUUGACCUUUGACCCCAUUCUUGUGGAGAAGGUGGCCAAUGUUCUCUUCCUGGUGAUGCAGGACAACCCGAAUCUGCAGCGCCUCUAUUUAACCGGCGUCUUCUUCUUCAUCAUGAUGUACACGGGCUCCAACGUGCUUCCUGUGGCCAGGUUCUUGAAAUACACCCACCUAAAGCAAGCCUUCAGAUCAGAGGAGUCCAAAGGUCAGGACAUCGUGCAGCGCAGCGUUUUGGGGCCGGUGCUGCCGGAGGCCAUGGUGUGUUACCUGGAGAACUACGAGGCCGAGCGCUUCUCCGAGAUAUUCCUCGGAGAAUUUGACACGCCGGAGGCCAUUUGGAGCAGCGAGAUGAGGCGGAUGAUGAUCGAGAAGAUAGCAGCGCACGUCGCCGACUUCAGCCCUCGGCUGCAGAGCAACACCCGGGCCCUCUACCAGUACUGCCCCAUCCCCGUGAUCAGCUUCCCUCAGCUCGACUUCGAGCUCUUCUGCAACAUCUACUACCUCAGGCAUCUGUGCGACACGACCCGCUUCCCCAACUGGCCCAUCCGGGAUGCCGUGAAGCUGCUUAAAGAUACACUUGAAGCUUGGAAGAGGGAAGUGGAGAAGAAACCUCCCUCCAUGUCUGUGGACGACGCCUACGAAGUCCUCAACCUCCCCAAAGGACAGGGACAGCAUGAGGAGAGUAAAAUCAGGAAAGCUUACUUCAGGCUCGCACAGAAAUACCAUCCAGAUAAAAACCCAGAGGGCAGGGACAUGUUUGAGAAAGUUAACAAAGCCUACGAGUUCCUCUGCACGAAGUCCGCCCGGAUCGUGAACGGCCCCGAUCCAGAGAACAUCAUCCUCAUCCUCAAAGCCCAGAGCAUCCUCUUCAACCGGCACCGGCAGGAGCUCGAGCCCUACAAGUACGCCGGCUACCCCAUGCUCAUCAAAACCAUCACCAUGGAGACGGCGGACGAUCAGCUCUUCUCCAAAACCUCGCCUCUCCUCCCCGCCGCCGCCGAGCUGGCCUUCCACACGGUCAACUGCUCGGCUCUGAACGCCGAGGAGCUGCGCCGCGAGAACGGCAUCGAGGUCCUGCUGGAGGCUCUCUCUCGGUGUGUUGCUGUAUUGACUGCAUCAAGCAAGCCUGAAGACAUGGCUGUGCAGGUGUGCGGGCACAUCUGCAAGUGCUACAGCGUUGCAGCGCAGUUCGAGGAGUGCAGAGAGAAGAUUGUCGAAAUGCCCAACAUCAUCCGAGACCUCUGCCACAUCCUGUACUACGGGAAGGGUCUUCCGAAAACUGCAGCCCUGGCGGUUCAGUGCGUGAGCUCCUUCGCGGUGGAUUACUUCCUGCAGACCCACCUGUAUCACGCCGGCGUGCUCUGGCACCUGCUGGUCCACCUCUUCAACUACGACUACACCCUGGAGGAGAGCGGCGUGCAGGCCAGCCAGGAGACCAACCAGCAGGAGGUCGCCAACAGCCUGGCCAAGCUCAGCAUGGUGGCCCUCAGCCGCCUGGGCGGCUACAUGCAGAUCCCCCACAGCCCCGACGGAAACACCCCCGUGUCGGAGACCAACGGCGUGGAGGGCACGCCCCCGGAGAACCCCACCAUCCGCAAGAGCCUGGCCGCCAUGCUGACGCCGUACAUCUCCAGGAAGCUGGGGACGGGAACGCCCGCCGAGGUGUUGAAGCUGCUGAACAGCAACUCGGAGAAUCCCUACCUGAUCUGGAACAACGGAACCAGAGCGGAGCUGCUGGAGUUUCUGGAGGGUCAACAGGAGGGGAACAUCAAGAGGGGAGAGAACGAUAAAAGCUUCGGCGCAGAGUUUUUGUUCUCCGAUCACAGCAAGGAGCUGAUAGUGGGAGAGAUCUUUGUUCGAGUCUAUAACGAACAGCCGACUUUCCCACUGGAGUUUCCUAAGGCGUUCGCGGCCAGUCUGCUGGACUACGUCGGCUCUCAGGCUCAGUACCUCCACACCCUGCUGGCCAUGAGUCAGAGCAACAAGGUGGAGUCCCAGCAGCACGCCGAGCGUCUGCGCUUCGCUGAGAUGGCUCUGGAGGCUCUGCGCAACGUCAUCAAGAACAACCCCGGGUCGGAGUCGGAGUGCAUCGGUCACUUCAAGCUGCUCUUCUCGUUGCUGCGGGUUCACGGAGCGGGCAGAGUGCAGCAGCUGGUCUUGGAGGUUGUGAAUACAGUGACGUCCAACCAGGAAUGUGUGAGCAACAUUGCCGAGUCCAUGGUGCUGUCCAACCUCCUGUUACUGCUGCACUCGCUCCCCUCCAGCAGGCAGAUGGUGCUGGAGACUCUCUAUGCACUGACUUCAAAUACAAAGAUUGUCAAAGAGGCUAUGGCCAAAGGCGCUCUCAUCUAUCUGCUGGACCUCUUCUGUAACUGCACACACCCGCAGGUCCGCACGCAGACGGCAGAGCUCUUCUCCAAGAUGACCUCAGACAAGCUGGUUGGGCCAAAGGUGCGUCUCACCCUGAUACGCUUCCUCCCGGGGGUGUUCAUGGACGCCAUGCGGGACAACGCCGAGGCGGCCGUGCACAUAUUCGAGGGGACGCACGAAAACCCCGAGCUCAUCUGGAACGACAGCUCGAGGGAGAAGGUGUCCACCACUGUGCGGGAGAUGAUGCUGGAGCACUUUAAGCAGCAGAAGGAUAAUCCUGAUGUGAACUGGAGACUGCCAGAGGACUUCACAGUGGCUUACGGAGCCGGGCAGGGCGAACUGGAAGUGGGCGGAGUCUUCUUGCGGAUCUUCAUUGCUCAGCCUGGCUGGGUGUUGCGCAAACCUCGAGAGUUCCUGGUGUCUCUCCUGGAAACGCUCACCGAGCUGCUGGAGAAGAACAACCCCAACGGCGAGGCUCUGGAGACCGUCACCACGGCGGCGGUCUGCCUGUUCAGCGCUCAGACGCAGCUGGCCGACCAGGUUCCUCCUCUGGGCCACCUGCCGCGCAUCCUGGCCGCGCUCAACCACAAGAACAACGCCGUGCCCAAGAGCUCCAUCCGCCUGAUCCACGUGCUCUCAGACAACGAGCUGUGUGUGCGCUCCAUGGCUGCUCUGGAGACCAUCGGCCCGCUGAUGACUGGGAUGAAAUGCCGGGCAGACAUGGCCGGUCUGGCCUGUGAAGCUCUCAACCGCAUGUUCCAGAAGGAGCAGACGGAGCUGGUGGCGCAGGCUCUGAGAGUGGAGCUGGUGCCGUACCUCCUCAAACUGCUGGAAGGAAUCGGCCUGGAGACGCUGGACAACCCCUCAGCCACCAAGGCUCAGAUCGUCAAAGCUCUCAAAUCCAUGACUCGCAGUCUGCAGUACGGAGAGCAGGUGAAUGAAAUCCUGGCGAAGUCCUCGGUGUGGAGCACCUUCAAAGACCAGAAGCACGACCUUUUCAUCACAGAGUCUCAGACUGCCGGCUACGUGACAGGGGUUUCCACUCCUUCUCUCCUGGCCGCCAGCAGCCCUCUGCGAGGCGGGCUCUAGACUCCUGAGCCGGGCCCUCGCAGCCCUCCUCUCUCUUGCUCUUAAUGCAGGUCCAGGAGUCGCAGGUUACCUUACAGCAGGAACGGGCACCACAGUGAUGUCCAGCGUCCCACCCCCCGUGGACAACGACAGCGGAGACUAAGGCUGAAGGACACUGGCACAGCCACGCCGGGGCACGCCGUCCGCCCUCAGAGAGGGAGCGAUCGGCCCCCCCGUCACGCAGGGGACGGACAAAAACAGCCCCAACUCAAAACCCAGCGGGGGGAGAAGCGGACCGUCACUCUCCUCCCCCGACCGCCCAACUUUUACAAACGGCACUCGAGUCUUGGAAAGCGCUUCGUUUUAACAGAUGACCACAUUUUUGUUUCUGUGCUACUUUUUUCUUGUUUCUCCCGGUGAAAUGAAAA
Molecule: RNA transcript, 7358 nt
Organism: Salarias fasciatus (jewelled blenny)
Lineage: Eukaryota; Metazoa; Chordata; Actinopteri; Blenniiformes; Blenniidae
Gene name: dnaJ homolog subfamily C member 13
Exons: 58
Source: RefSeq, a predicted model, not a curated record